UGAAUACGAGAUGCUACGGCGUCGAAGCAGUCUAUGUCAUACUUCCAAGAAAAGCUUGCACUGUCAUAAACAAAUAAUGCCUGUACCAUAACCGACACAGGUGGGUAGGUAGAGUAUACUAAGGGGCGCGAGAUAACUCUCUCUAAGGAACUCGGCAAAAUGACUCCGUAACUUCGGGAGAAGGAGUGCCUUAUUUAUAAGGUUGCAAUAACAAGAUCCAAGCAACUGUUUACCAAAAACACAGGUCUCCGCUAAGUCGUAAGACGAUGUAUGGGGGCUGACGCCUGCCCAGUGCCAGAAGGUUAAAGAAGUUGGUUAGCAUCCGCGAAGCUGAUAACUGAAGCCCUGGUGAACGGCGGCCGUAACUAUAACGGUCCUAAGGUAGCGAAAUUCCUUGUCGGGUAAGUUCCGACCCGCACGAAAGGCGUAAUGAUUUGGAUACUGUCUCGGAGAGGGGCUCGGUGAAAUAGACUUGUCUGUGAAGAUGCGGACUACCUGCACCAGGACAGAAAGACCCUAUGAAGCUUUACUGUAACCUGAAAUUGAAAUCGGACUUUACUUGCGCAGUAUAGGUGGGAGGCGUUGAGAAUAUUCUUGCGGGAUUAUUGGAGCCAUCAGUGAGAUACCACUCUUGUAAUGUUAGAUUUCUAACUUUGUAUCAUUAUCUGGUCAAAGAACAGUUUCAGGCGGGCAGUUUGACUGGGGCGGUCGCCUCCUAAACGGUAACGGAGGCGCACAAAGGUUUCCUCUGAACGGGUAGAAAUCGUAUCUAGAGUGUAAAGGCAUAAGGAAGCUUGACUGUGAGACCUACAAGUCGAGCAGGGACGAAAGUCGGUCUUAGUGAUCUGACGGUGCUGAGUGGAAAGGCCGUCACUCAACGGAUAAAAGUUACUCUAAGGAUAACAGGCUGAUCUCCCCCAAGAGUUCACAUCGACGGGGAGGUUUGGCACCUCGAUGUCGGCUCAUCGCAUCCUGGGGCGGUAGUACGUCCCAAGGGUUGGGCUGUUCGCCCAUGAAAGCGGUACGCGAGCUGGGUUCAGAACGUCGUGAGACAGUUCGGUCCAUAUCCGGUGUAGGCGUUAGAAUAUUGAGAGGAGCCUUCUUUAGUACGAGAGGACCGAGAAGGACAUACCUCUGGUGUACCAGUUAUCGUGCCAACGGUAAACGCUGGGUAGCUAUGUGUGGAGUGGAUAACCGCUGAAAGCAUCUAAGUGGGAAGCCCACCUCAAGAUAAGUAUUCUC
This 1242-nucleotide ribosomal RNA is filed under the name metagenome. Its description in RNAcentral is "bacterial LSU rRNA". It matches the Rfam family "Bacterial large subunit ribosomal RNA", at positions 1564 to 2815 of the family's 2925-position model. The record is from RNAcentral.